AAGGCCCCCACCCCAGUCGUCUGAUUUAGAGCAUAAAUUGGCUUUUAAAUAUUCCUGUGUACUAACUCUCCCACCCCUUCCCAUCAAAAUGAAGCUGAUCCCCAGGAUUUUUGGUAAAGUCACAGUGAGACCACUGACAUUCUUCAUGUUAACUUUCAGGAAGCAUGUAACUUUUUAAAAUCACCUAAUUCCUCUUUUGUUAAACAAGUAAACACAAAACCAUGCAUGCAGGGACCACCAGCCUGUACUGCCUGCUGUGCUCCCAGCUGCAGGAGCAACAUGCCUGGGGAGUGCGGCACAGGAGGACGGCUCCGUGUGAGCAGCCCUCUGCAGGCCCCAACCCUGACAGCACACCGUGAGGUCUGCCAGCAGGCUGGCGUCACGGGCACCGUAGUGCUCCAUGUGCUGUGCUGGUCAGUGGGGCAGCCCAGAAAGGUUUCCCAAGUUUGCUCCUUCCUCCCUUCCUUCUAGCAAGAAGUGUGAUUGCUGCAGGAUGUAUCAGAUUGUGAAGUUAACUUUGAUAUGGUGUUAAAGCUGUUGAAUUAUCGUGGUGAUCAAGCAGAAAAAAAGAAAUCUUUAUGCAGAGAUGUCAGGGAGAUGGGGAAAUGGUGUAAUGUGUGAAGUUAAGAAGACACAGCCUUAUACUGUGCGCAGAAGCCAACACAACGUAAGAGCUGUUUCGCAGCUGAUAAUAAUUUGGCUUCAGAAGUGGAAGGUGAUGCCACAGAGCAGAGCUGCAGUGUGAGCACGGGGGCUGCCAGCACUCGAGUGCACUCAGUUGCUGCAGCUCUUUCACCAGAUGUGCCACUCGCUUAAGACCAAUCUGCUAGCACGGGUAGGUGGAAAGCUGGAAAACAGUGCUGUCGGAGGCACAGCAGCCUAUGGAGAGCGCUGCAGAACAGCCUGCAGGAGGCAGCUGGUCCGGGAGCAUUUGUUGUCAGACAGACUAGGGAAGUGCUCGGAGGCAUCUGGGAGCAGAAGGCACAGCGGCUGCCUGGUGCUGCUCUGGGAGCUCCUGCCUGUCUCAGCGACAGAAACAGCCGAGCUGUGGUUCCGUGCCAAUGGGGAAAAGAAGCAAACAUACGUGCGUACAGUCCUACAUUUUACUUGUACAUACACAAUCUAUGUGUAUGCACCCCAUUCCACAGAGGGACGUGCACUCAAGAGAGCUGCAAGUACAUACAGCCUUCUGUCACUACUCGUGAUAAUCUACACCCAAUUAGCAAACAGUAUUCUUGGCCCUAGAAAGUAUUUUGCUCACUGAUAUACUGCAGGUGCAUUACGUGCAUCCCUGAUACUCAGAGCCGAAACACCCCGCAGAUGGUGCAGUACGUGCAAUUUCAAAAAGAAACAAACCAACCCACAAAACAACCGCCAGCACUGCGGCUGUGGGUUUAAGUUUUCCAAGAGCUUGUUGUAGACAAUGUAGCAUAGAUUGAUUUUUUUUCUCAUCCCACCAUAGCAGGAGAUAUUUUCCCGUGCGCUUGAUAAUCUGCUGGAAUUAAAACACCGCGCAGAUCUGUAACUACAUCACUGCGUUUAGGCAGCGUCUUUCAUAAAACCCUCAAUCCCAAUCCCCGCGGCAUCCACCCACUGCAUACCGUUGGUCCGUAGCCGGCACGGUGACGCUUCAGAAACCGUCCUGGAGAGCAGAGCCUCCCGCCUGCCUCCCCACACACACACACACCGCAUCCCUUCCUAUUUUCCGAGACCAGUAUUUUGUGGAUGCUCAGAAAAGGGCAUCUCGGCAGGAAACGGCGUUCUUUACGAGUAACACAGCUGAGCUUUGCGUACGCCGCGGACAAACGCGCCGGCCGCAGCAGCCACGGAAGCCGCAGCGGAUGGUAAAGCCCCGGCAGCUGCAAAAAGUUGCCCUGUAAUUACUCGCCUCGGAGCCGGCUGACGAGUAGCCCGCAGAAGCGGCGAACGCGGCCGUUUAAGGAAACGAGGAGAAAUCUCACCUGCGCUCCGCGGUCAGGGAACCCUCGUUAAGGUGGAGAGAGGGGGAUGCAUUCAUCCAACAAAGGCAGCUAUAGCAGAAAUGCUACGUCAGUGCUUUGACCAGAGAUGAAGCACCUGGAGGAAGGCAGUGCCAGCCCAGAGGAGCUCAACUGCAAUGUACCUGAAUGACCAGGAGGGCUGGAGCCAGGAUCCACCUCUUCCCGGACCUCCUCAAAGGGCUGGCAGUGGAGGUGAGAGUCUCUUGCUGGAGAUCCCUGCCUACCCGAGGCCUGAAGGAGCACAGAGGAGGAAUGUGCAUCAGGAGCAUGGUCACCAUGGUGACAGCAGGGACACAGCGGGAGCGUCCCUUGAAAACAUCGGUUUGGAUCACAAUUAAUGCGGGAAAUGAACAGCUGAAGAACAGCAGAAAAACCUCUUAAAUUAUUCAGCUGGAAUAAAUUGUCAGCGGUGGUUCUGAAGCACGAGGCAGCAAUGGGGUCUUUCCUGGGAACCGCAGGAACGGCACCGCCGGAGGGCGGGCAGUGCACGAGCAGCCCAGCCCUGGUUCUGCCUGUGUCCCUUUGCGUAUAAUACUCCGAGGGUGCUGUGAGCAUUUCCAAACACUGGCACAACACCUCUCCACAAAUGCCAACUGUAAUGGUGCUCUGGAGCAGCAGAGCCAGCAAAAAUGGCAGCACUGGUCCUGGUAACACAGCCAGACCUGGCAAACUAGAAAGAAGUAACACGAGUGGUGUAACGACUGCCUGUUCUGAGCGUGCACCAAACGCCAUGGCAACUCAUCAGUAACUGCACAGCUCCUGUAGAGCUGCUCAGGACCUGCAAAGAUGCACUGCUACAGUAGGAGUAACCACACUUUAAUUAUUAAAGCAAAACAUUUCUGAACUCAGUCCAAUCGUGGUGCUGUUGUGUUACCCAGCAGUACAUGAAAGCCAGUUUGUCUCAUUCCCUGUAUUGACUCUGAAAUUACUCGUUGAAUCAUUAUUUCUAAUUUUGUAGGGACUUUCUGCUGAGGGGCCGAUGCCUCAUACCAAGAAAACACAAUGCCUACAAAAAGCACUAUUUAUAUAAAACAACUGAUGCACGACAAGAGAGACAUCAAAUUACCACCUCGGUGUUGCUUAUACAAACGCAUCGGGAGGUGCUGAUGAACCGCAGUCCCUUCUGCACGGCUCGUUCUCCCAAGCUUUGAGAGCUGUGACAAAUUACAUUAAUUCAUCUGCGCAGAUCAGACGCGUUUUUAAGCUGCUCCAUGACAGUUCCCAUCAGCCUUCCUAUUUGCCGUAAGGCCGCGUGCAUCGGCCGGGAAAAAACCUCCCCCGGCGACCGCGGAGCGCCGCGCACUGCGGGCCGCCGCCGCCCGCGCCCAACCCGAGCGCUGCGCUUCAGCAGCGUGCCGCUGCUGCCACCUGGCGGCCGGAACGUCAACCUGCAGGCGGAGCAGCGCCGCGCGCGCACGGAGCUCUUUGCGACCGAGUCAGGCCCGAAUCGCCUCGCGGUGCUCUGCAGGGCAGGCAACGAGCAUCCCCAGCAGCUCGAUGUUUACAUGAUGACGCAGAGCAGUAAGGCUCAGAUGUGACAACACUGUCCCGCCAUAGGCACACGAACAGGAACUCUGAAGUAAGCAGGGCAUCAUCAUUAACAAUUGCUAUCAAGUUGCAGCACGGGACAGUUGAAAGGCAGGUGUGUGGGAGGGCCAUUGAGCUGCGCUGUAACACCGUGGGGCAGCAGGAGGUGAGCAAAUGGAAGACAAAGCAAAGCAGUAAUGCAUUCUGCAGCACAGAAAAUGAAGGACUGCUGCCUGGUGAGAAUCACAGAAUCACAAGGUUGGAAACGACCUACAAGAUCAUCUAGUCCAACCGUCUCCUCUUCGCCAUUGCCACCACUAGCACUAAAGGAAGUUGGCCAAGCCUAUAAGCAGUCCCAUAUCUAAAGAAAACACCUUAAUUCAGUACAUAAUUUAGUAAUACACUUCUAGCAGAUAAAUGCUGUAAAGACUAUUUUGCUCUUAUGCUCAGAUUCAUGUUUGAUUGGAUGUUCCGUAGUUCUUAAGAAAAUGAAGAGUAGCACGGCUUCCAAGUGCCAUUCAUCGUGCAUGUCUAAGACAUGGAAAAUUAGGAUCCUGAUUUGAACAUCUUAAGAUCAAAAUUAUAUGGAGUAAGAGCUGUACCAAUUGUGUACACAGCGUGCUGUAAUUGCAGCUACUUCUGCAGUAAGUUCUGAUGAAUGCCUGAAACAUGCAAGGCUGAGCAGAAUGAGGUCCUCGCUUGUGCUAAAACUGAAUGAGCUUCCUGCCCAGAAAACACAGCCCCAACCUGGAGGUCAGUCUGAGUUAAUGACUUCCUGGGAAAAGGAUUUGCACUAUUUGCUUUUACUCUUCACCUGAUGAGCAGACUUAGCAGCUGAGUACUCUCAAACACACCACUUAUAGCUGAGACUGCCUAUACAUCCAAAAGCUAACACUUUACCUCGAUUGCUGCCCUCGAAAUCCUAUGGAACCUGAAUUCAAAUGUCUGAUCCCACAGCCUUCACACCUCGUUUGAACUGUGAGAAUGGAGGAGGCAGUGAGAUCUGUUACCAGGUGUUUUUCUAGAACCAUACAACAGUUUGGUUGAAAGGAUCCUCAAAGGGCUCCCACUAUGGAGCCCCCCGGGUCAGGGCCCCAUCCACAGCCUGGGGCUCCUCCAGGGAUGAGGCAGCACAGCUGCAACCCCAGGGCUCCCUAAAGUUCUUUCUCUCCCAAGUGAAGUCCAUGCUCUUUGGGUAAAUGCAGCAGAGGAGGGUGAUGGCAGUGCCAUCUGCUGGGCCACAAGCACUACGGAACAAUGAAAGACGGCGAAGAAAAAAAAUGAAUUCAGCCCUUCUGAUGAGGGUGUGAGAGGAGUGCGAUCUCUGCCCAGAGAUGCUGCUCCCUCAGCUGCUCACCCUUGCACCAAGUUGAGGAGUGCACAGCUUGCCCCUGAGCUCCAGAGCUCACGCCUGGGCCAGGCUGUGACACAGCAGAUCCCACAAAGUAACUUUAUGGCUGCAAUAGUCGGCUUUUAACUUCAAAGUCGCCCAUCUGUCAGGUUUGUAAAUAUUUAUAUUCCUCUUUAAAGGUACAUCUUAACUGUUUACCUUUAAAUCUUGACAUUGCCUCACACCACGAAGUUUAACUUAACAACCUUGGGCUGAUACUGCUCCAUACACGAGGAACUGUCAAGAGUUUCACACCGCAUAACAACUAGAUUUCAUGUCUCACACAGUGAGAACUGCUCACAACCUGCAGCUCUGCUGUGCUGCAGCCCGAGUCCCCCACCAUCCAGCCCUGUGCCAUCACCCUGACUGUAAAAUGCCCACAGUUCUCAGAGCCAGGUGUGCUGCCCACUGUGCGGCUAUGCUCCGAGAGGCAGCUGGGGAGGUGCACAGCUCUGCUUUGUUCUCAUUAGAUUAACACUGCUGCAUAUCUUUUCCUCACCCAUAGAGUCAAAAUAAAGAUGUCCCAGUUCAUUCACGAGGUGUAUUUUGACGGCCACUGGCUGGUUUGAACAAACGAUUCAUUCCUCUCCUUGCAAACUCUUAGGGAAAACGUUCUUCUCACCCUGCCCAGCCCCAGCUUUGUGCCCUGCGGGGAGGCGGCGCUCCUCACUGCAGGGCCGGGCAAUGGAGCACAGCCUCCGGGCUGCAGGGCCGGAUGGCCUCAGAGCCGCGGAGUGCAGCCCCAGCGCCGGACACCUUGCGGGGAUCGAUGCGGCCACACUUGGUGCCAGCAGGCGGCUCUCCAGUACGGACAGGACCCGGCUGCAGCUGAAGGCCCUUCCUGGUUUCACUUGUUUGGUGUCGGUUACAAGGCAGAAAUAUUUAUGUUGUUUGUACUUGAUGGACGUAGAGGUUGGAGUUGUCU
This is a long non-coding RNA of Lagopus muta (rock ptarmigan), 5842 nucleotides long. RefSeq lists it as uncharacterized. The transcript is spliced from 3 exons. NCBI's taxonomy places the organism in Eukaryota, Metazoa, Chordata, Aves, Galliformes, Phasianidae. The record is from RefSeq and is a predicted model, not a curated record.